AGUGAACGCUGGCGGUGUGCCUAAUACAUGCAAGUCGAACGAAGUGGCGCACGGGUGAGUAAUAUAUAGUUAAUCUGCCCUACACAGAGGAACAACAGUUGGCAACGACUGCUAAUAACUCAUAGUGUAGGAUGAGACUCUAUCGUAUCAGCGAGGUGGUAAGGUAAUGGCUUACCAAGGCUAUGACGCGUAACUGGUCUGAGCUGAUGAUCAGUCAAAUUGGAAGUGAGACACGGGCCAAACUCCUACGGGAGGCAGCAGGAAGGAAUAUUGCGCAAUGGGGGAAACCAGGACGCAGCAUCGCCGCGUGGAGGAUGAUACUCUGCGGAGCGUAAACUCCUUUUAUCAGGAAAGCGGUACCUGAUGAAUAAGCACCGGCUAACUCCGUGCCAGCAGCCGCGGUAAUUC
RNAcentral lists this ribosomal RNA (408 nucleotides) under uncultured bacterium. RNAcentral's name for it is "partial 16S ribosomal RNA". It matches the Rfam family "Bacterial small subunit ribosomal RNA", at positions 29 to 526 of the family's 1533-position model. The record is from RNAcentral.